Molecule: long non-coding RNA, 1291 nt
Organism: Lynx canadensis (Canada lynx)
Lineage: Eukaryota; Metazoa; Chordata; Mammalia; Carnivora; Felidae
Exons: 3
Source: RefSeq, a predicted model, not a curated record
GCUGGGGAGAACACAGAGGGGGGGAGAGUGGGCAACCGCAAGCGCUCAAACAUUUCAGACGCGACCCGCACGCCCGAAUCAGCGCUGACCUCCCAGGACAGACCGCAGCCGGUCUGCGCCAGGAGAACGGAGAAGCGGGAAGGCUGCGGUCUGUCACGCACCUCUUCUCCUAGUCACUCCCGCUCUGGGAAAAGUGGGAGACGGUUUGGCAAAAACCUCCUGGGACCACCGUUUAGGGGUUCCAGACGAGUGCCGCAGGCAGGGGGGGGGGGUGGUCCGCCACGCGUUCCUCGGGACCCUCCAGCAGACGCUGGGGGAAGGCUCGCAGCCGCCAGGCUCUGCCAGUCCUAAGGCACCUCUGUCCCCACUCACCGGGCCCCCUCCCGAAGUUGGCUGCUGCUGUAACUCUCUGCCUGACCUCCGCAGCUACGUCUCCCUCAGGAGACCAUUUCCUACGUGCCUUUGCGCCUCUGGCCUCAGAGGCACCCGGGGUCACACGAGACAGCUGGACACAUAUUUCUCAUUUGCUGAGGAAGCAGUCUUCUGGUCUCUCUUCCAAACCCACUCCCGGACAUCUUCACCUCCACAACAAGCUACGUCUCCUCCACUCGCGGUACCCCACUCACGCUUCCCCCACUCACGCUUCCCCCACCAGGGAGACUCUUGGGCGGCCGGCUAUUCCCACAAGCAGCUCUCUCCCAGAGUUCUCCAGUUACAUUUGGAAAGAGAUUGGAUUGCACGCUAGGUUUACGUCACCUGCGCCUCAUCCUCAGAGAAGUACACUUAAGACAAGUAAAAUACCUGUUUUACGAGAGAAAAUUGAGAAAAUGGUCUGUCAGGGCCUCUGGGGCAUCCUUCAAUUGGACAACAGUAGAAUUUCGCUGGAUCGCUCACUUCUUCUUAGUGCUGAAGAAUACGCCAUCCUCUGGAGGUUCCACAGUUCAUUUCCACUCACCGACUAUUUGGAAAGGGAUCUUGAGUUCACUGUGCUGUCUUCAGACAAGAGACAUCCGAAAAGUGCCUUGAAAGUGGGAGAAUGACCUCACGCAGCAGAAGCAGCAAGGGAAGAUACGGCUGCUUUGACAAAUCCAAGUAGAGAUUUGACUAUCAAAAUCUGUAUGUGCCUCAAACAUACUCCUUAAGCCUGUUAUACUUUGUAUUUUGUAUGUUGUGUUAUACAUCACAUAUGUGUUGUUAUGUUUUGUGUAUGUACUGGUAUCUUCAGAAUUCCUAAACGUCACGUGUUUUAGAAACAUAAUUAGAAAUAAACCUGUUAUAUGCUAUCAAACUA